Molecule: long non-coding RNA, 813 nt
Filed under: Medicago truncatula (barrel medic)
Lineage: Eukaryota; Viridiplantae; Streptophyta; Magnoliopsida; Fabales; Fabaceae
Description: lncRNA gene49044
Source: RNAcentral
UCAUUAACACCGCAAAAUAUCAUUUAUAAGAUUAUCCACAUAAAAGAUUUAAAUUUGAAGGAAAAGAGGAAUAAAAGUAUGGAUUAUCCACAUAAAAAAAAAAAAAAAAAAAAAAAAAGACAUGGAACUGUUGAUUCACACAAUAAGAUCCACAAAGUAUUUCGUUGCAGAAUCUUUACAAGCCUUGGAGGAACAUCCAGGCACAUCUUGAAACUGAUUCGCCGGUAAUUUCUUAGACAAAGCUCCAACAAAGAAUUGAAGCAUACCAGAAGGGGAAUCAACUUCCAUCCCGGUAACAGGGAGCCAGAUGAAGAGCAUCUUGGCCUGAAUCCCAGACACGCCGGAAACGGAACCGUAAGUGAGGGUUCCGGUGACGAGGGUGUCGUAGUAGACUAAUUGACCGGAGAAGCGAACGUAACAGGGGGAUUGGAGAUGGAGGGUGAAGUAACCAGAUGGGGAGAGGGUGUAGGAGGCGAUGUUGUUGGGAAGGAUUCCCUUUGGGAAACCGUAAUCGGGGAGGAGGUCGUGGAUGUCUGAGGGAAGGGUUGUGGCUGUUGCAUGGUAUAUGAAUAGGAAUGUUGAGAAGAAUUGAAAGAAGGUUUUCAAGGUUCUGGUGGACAUUGUAAUUGUUGGGGAAUGAGUUGACUCUGCCGAUAAUAAUUGAUAUGAAUUUGGUGUUUAUGGGUUGGAAACGGGUAAAUAAGGAUUUUUGCUUAUUCCUCAACAAAAUAAAUAUAUGCAUUUUUGCUGCUUUUAUACCAAAAUUCUUUUUUAUUUGAUAGAUGUGCAUGGUAACAUACUUUAACUAUAUAU